GCGUGCAAAGAGGCUAGUGCAUAAUUAUAUAUAUAUAUAUAUAUAUGCGGCCUAACGGGCCGGGCUUUCUUGGGCUUAAUCGGGCCGGGCCUAUGAGCCAGCCGGGCUUCAAACACCCAAGCUUAACCCGACCCAAGGUGGGCCAGGCCAUCUCAAAGCCCAUAAUGGGCCGGGCCGGACUUUUGUUUCAAUGGGCCGGGCGGGCCCCCAUCGGCCCAUGAGACCGCGGGCCAAAUGAUGAGGCCUACUUGUAGCUCAAGUGAUUGCAAAGAAUUACCCUUGCACCUGACCCGAGGUCUUGAAUUUAAUUUCCCACUCCCCAAAUAGCGCUUGUAUUAAAAAAAAAAUUAUCAAUUAUUC
This 360-nucleotide long non-coding RNA is filed under the name Prunus persica (peach). RNAcentral's name for it is "long non-coding RNA (PPER_LNC006754)". Lineage: Eukaryota; Viridiplantae; Streptophyta; Magnoliopsida; Rosales; Rosaceae. The record is from RNAcentral.